GACGAACGCUGGCGGCGUGCCUAAUACAUGCAAGUAGAACGCUGAAGAGAGGAGCUUGCUCUUCUUGGGUGAGUGGCGAACGGGUGAGUAACGCGUAGGUAACCUGCCUUGUAGCGGGGGAUAACUACUGGAAACGAUAGCUAAUACCGCAUAACAUAGGAUGACACAUGUCAUUUAAGUGAAAGGGGCAAUUGCUCCACUACAAGAUGGACCUGCGUUGUAUUAGCUAGUAUGUGAGGUAAUGGCUCACCUAGGCGACGGUACAUAGCCGACCUGGGAGGGUGGUCGGCCACCCUGGGACUGAGACCCGGCCCAGACUCCUACGGGAGGCAGCAGUAGGGAAUCUUCGGCAAUGGGGGCAACCCUUACCGAGCCACGCCGCGUUAGUUAAGGAGGUUUUCGGAUCGUAAAGCUCUGUUGUAAGUCAAGAACGGGUGUGGGAGUUGAAAGUUCACGCUGUGACGGUAGCUUACCAGAAAGGCACGGCUAACUACGUG
This 497-nucleotide ribosomal RNA is filed under the name uncultured bacterium. RNAcentral's name for it is "partial 16S ribosomal RNA". It matches the Rfam family "Bacterial small subunit ribosomal RNA", at positions 28 to 507 of the family's 1533-position model. The record is from RNAcentral.